AGACAGUGCCUACGGAAGGCAGCAGUGAGGAAUAUUGGUCAAUGGGCGCGAGCCUGAACCAGCCAAGUCGCGUGAGGGAGGACGGCCCUACGGGUUGUAAACCUCUUUUGCCGGGGAGCAACGGGCGUCACGUGUGGCGCCACUGAGAGUACCCGGAGAAAAAGCAUCGGCUAACUCCGUGCC
RNAcentral lists this ribosomal RNA (183 nucleotides) under uncultured bacterium. Its description in RNAcentral is "partial 16S ribosomal RNA". It matches the Rfam family "Bacterial small subunit ribosomal RNA", at positions 328 to 509 of the family's 1533-position model. The record is from RNAcentral.